GGAAAAGGGAAGGCAGUGAAUUGCUCCUUUGCAGGGCCAAAAAAGCAGAGGUGAAAUCAAGGGCAGGUGUUCUUGGCAGAAGUACAAGAUCAUCUAUCCUGGAGGGCCAAGGGAUGAAAAUGAGAAAACAUUGGAGAAGGAAAUAGAACUUACCAUUCUUGGUUUACAGCAUAAUAAAAAUGAACAAGCAUGUCCUGGAAGAUACCCUGACCUUUGACUUCAGUGUGUCAUGUAGCAGAGGUUGAA
Molecule: non-coding RNA, 246 nt
Organism: Pseudonaja textilis
Lineage: Eukaryota; Metazoa; Chordata; Lepidosauria; Squamata; Elapidae
Source: RefSeq, a predicted model, not a curated record